RNAcentral lists this microRNA precursor (150 nucleotides) under Ectocarpus siliculosus. Its description in RNAcentral is "miR3469 stem-loop (esi-MIR3469)". Lineage: Eukaryota; Phaeophyceae; Ectocarpales; Ectocarpaceae. The record is from miRBase by way of RNAcentral.
AACGUUGUGAGCUACAAUCCGACCAUCCUCCGCCUCUGGGGUGGAUAUGUGAACACCGUCGUCAUCCUCGACAUGCGUACUGUUGGAUGGCGACGGUGUUCACAUGUCCACCCCAGAGGCGGAGAGUGGUCGGAUUGUAGCUCACAACGU